GAUGAACGCUAGCUACAGGCUUAACACAUGCAAGUCGAGGGGCAGCAUGGUCUUAGCUUGCUAAGGCCGAUGGCGACCGGCGCACGGGUGAGUAACACGUAUCCAACCUGCCGUCUACUCUUGGACAGCCUUCUGAAAGGAAGAUUAAUACAAGAUGGCAUCAUGAGUCCGCAUGUUCACAUGAUUAAAGGUAUUCCGGUAGACGAUGGGGAUGCGUUCCAUUAGAUAGUAGGCGGGGUAGCGGCCCACCUAGUCGUCGAUGGAUAGGGGUUCUGAGAGGAAGGUCCCCCACAUUGGAACUGAGACACGGUGCAAACUCCUACGGGAGGCAGCAGUGAGGAAUAUUGGUCAAUGGGCGAGAGCCUGAACCAGCCAAGUAGCGUGAAGGAUGACUGCCCUAUGGGUUGUAAACUUCUUUUAUAAAGGAAUAAAGUCGGGUAUGCAUACCCGUUUGCAUGUACUUUAUGAAUAAGGAUCGGCUAACUCCGUGCCAGCCGCCGCAGUAA
Molecule: ribosomal RNA, 506 nt
Filed under: uncultured bacterium
Lineage: Bacteria
Description: partial 16S ribosomal RNA
Rfam family: Bacterial small subunit ribosomal RNA
Source: RNAcentral